Molecule: ribosomal RNA, 253 nt
Filed under: uncultured bacterium
Lineage: Bacteria
Description: partial 16S ribosomal RNA
Rfam family: Bacterial small subunit ribosomal RNA
Source: RNAcentral
UACGUAGGGGGCAAGCGUUGUCCGGAUUUAUUGGGCGUAAAGAGCGUGUAGGCGGCCAGACAGGUCAGCUGUGAAAACUCGAGGCUCAACCUCGAGACGUCGGUUGAAACCGUCUGGCUAGAGUCCGGAAGAGGAGAGUGGAAUUCCCGGUGUAGCGGUGAAAUGCGCAGAUAUCGGGAAGAACACCCGUGGCGAAGGCGGCUCACUGGCCCGGUACUGACGCUGAGGUGCGAAAGCGUGGGGAGCAAACAGG